Molecule: ribosomal RNA, 253 nt
Filed under: uncultured bacterium
Lineage: Bacteria
Description: partial 16S ribosomal RNA
Rfam family: Bacterial small subunit ribosomal RNA
Source: RNAcentral
UACGAGAACCCCAAGCGUUAUCCGGAAUCAUUGGGCGUAAAGGGUGUGUAGGUGGUUUGGUUAGUCUUCUGUAAAAAUCUUGGGCUCAACCCAAGACCUGCGGAGGAAACGGCCAGACUCGAGGGUGCGAGAGGUGAAUGGAACUCAUGGAGUAGGGGUGAAAUCCGUUGAUAUCAUGGGGAACACCAAAGGCGAAGGCAAUUCACUGGCGCAUUUCUGACACUGAAACACGAAAGCGUGGGUAGCGAACGGG